AACGAACGCUGGCGGCAUGCCUAACACAUGCAAGUCGAACGAGACCUUCGGGUCUAGUUGCGCACGGGUGCGUAACGCGUGGGAACCUGCCCGUAGGCUCGGAAUAACACCCCGAAGGGGGUGCUAAUACCGGAUAAUGUCCUCGGACCAAAGAUUCAUCGUCUUUGGAUGGGCCGGCGUUGGAUUAGCCAGUUGGUAGGGUAAAAGCCUACCAAGGCGUCGAUCCAUAGCUGGGCUGAGAGGAUGAUCAGCCACACUGGGGCUGGGACACGGCCCGGACUCCUGCGGGAGGCAGCAAUGCGGAAUAUUGGACGAUGGGCGAAAGCCUGAUGCAGCUAGGCCGCGAAAGUGAUGAAGGCGUGAAGGAUGUAAAGCUGUUUUACCCGGGAUGAUACUGACGGUACCGGAAGAAUAAGCUCCGGCUAACUCCGUG
RNAcentral lists this ribosomal RNA (433 nucleotides) under uncultured bacterium. RNAcentral describes it as "partial 16S ribosomal RNA". It matches the Rfam family "Bacterial small subunit ribosomal RNA", at positions 29 to 507 of the family's 1533-position model. The record is from RNAcentral.